RNAcentral lists this unclassified non-coding RNA (224 nucleotides) under Clavaria fragilis. RNAcentral describes it as "internal transcribe spacer 2". Lineage: Eukaryota; Fungi; Basidiomycota; Agaricomycetes; Agaricales; Clavariaceae. The record is from RNAcentral.
GUAUCUCGAAGCUUAGGAAAUUGUUUCCUUUGUAUUUGGAUGUUGAAGGACUUGCUGGCUUAUUUAAUCAGCUCCUUUUAAAUGCAUUAGCAGGACUUGGCAAGCCUAGCUUCAGUUUGAUACACUUUUGUUAUCUGAGCUGUCGCAGGGAAUUGCAUCAUUGUCUCGCUUUCAAAUUGUCCCACUUGGGGACUUUUGUCAUCUGGACAGAAUUAUAAUAUUAA